GGGCUCCAUUAGCAACCUUAAUUAAUUAUACAUAUCUAUUAAUUCAUAACAUACUAUUUUAUCAUUUAUUAGGCUUUAAUGUCGUAAUAAGAAAUAGGGUGAGAGAUCCUUACUUAUUUCGGAGUCUGAAAUCGGGUUCUCACUAUGCCUACGGGCAGUCCCUAGAUUCUCUGAAUUUUUUCUCUGGAAACUGAAACACACUUCCGGUACCUGCACAUGUCCCUAAAAAAUCCCAAAUCAGACUCAGAGCCUUUUCGGCCAAUUUUAGAAUUUCGGCACGGCGGCUCUGCCGCCCGCGGUGGCGAUCCACCUCAGGUUGGCCGUUUUCGGCCAAACUUGCAUUGGUUCCUGUGAUAAAACACCCCUAGGGCCCUCGGUGGGCUAAAGAAUUACAGAAAACUGAGACUUACCAGCGACAAAGCUCUCGGGUGCGACGACUCCUCCGGCGUGAGUUGCGAUUUGGUAUUUUGCUCCGGUCAACCUGUAGAGAAAAGGACGGUGGUUACAGUGGUGUAACAAUUACAUCAAACAGGAACCGAGAAGGGCCUCAUCGGAGGCAAAAAUUGAGAAAACCUGUGGCAGCGCUGCUGGACUUUGGCGGUGUUUUUCGGCCAAUUGGCCGGUAAUU
This 628-nucleotide long non-coding RNA is filed under the name Carica papaya (papaya). RNAcentral's name for it is "long non-coding RNA (CPAP_LNC008225)". The record is from RNAcentral. Lineage: Eukaryota; Viridiplantae; Streptophyta; Magnoliopsida; Brassicales; Caricaceae.